Molecule: long non-coding RNA, 1923 nt
Filed under: Bemisia tabaci
Lineage: Eukaryota; Metazoa; Arthropoda; Insecta; Hemiptera; Aleyrodidae
Description: lncRNA ENSSSA1NGG008987
Source: RNAcentral
AACAGAAUUUUGAAGUGUGUAACAGAAUUUUGAAAAAUUCUACUAUCACUUUAUAGAAAAUAGUCUUGCAUAAAUUAUUUGAAUGAUUCAAAUCAUUGCGACUUACAACUCAGGGCUGAUGCCAAUAUUUGUCCAGUACUCUUUAAAAUGAUCAAAUUGAUAUGUGUAGACAGAAACGAGAACGAUCAUUGAAUAAAUUAUGACAGUUAACCAAAAUUCAUACAUCAUUUUCCGCCAAAUGUGCCAAGAUAGCUGAAACAAAUAAUUGUCAUUGUAGUCUUUUGUAUGUUACUGAUUAAGAUGAGGUUAAAUUUCUUUUUGUGAGGUAGAAUUUAGGAAAUAUUCCAUUACAAUCUCUUGGAUAUACCGAAAGAGGAAUAGUUUAUUAGGUGAAAUCGUUCUAAAAGUAUUAUGAUAACAAUGAAAAAGUCUGAUAUUACCUCAUUAUAAGUCACUUUUGGCGCAAGGUAUUUUUUAGGUGUUUUGAAAUAGGGGUAAACUUCACACUUUUCCAAUACAAGUAUAAACAUUUUUGAAAAAUUCUGAAUGAAGAACAAAUAUUCAUACGGCUCUAAUCAGCGAUCAUCAUUGGCUCAUUUUCAAGGCAUCAGAUUUUUUUUCACCUGCACAGUAAUGCUUGUCAACUUAACUUUUGCCGUAGAAUUGAUAAUUCUCAAGAAAUGUUGAAAUCAUUUCUAACGCACACAGGAAAAACAGAAAAAUUGCUCCAAAUUUUUCAGAAAUCAUGUGUUAAUUUUCUUCUAUCAACUUAAAAAAUUACCUGGAACGUGAGAAUGAAAACAAGGGCAAGAGCCAUGUAAAUGAUGCGAAAAAUUGUCAUUCUGUCUCCAUUAUACCAAUGGCAAAAAGAAUUUGCGCAACAACCCAGAUCCAAAACUUUGUUAAAAAUGAGCGAAUUCUCUCUCCCACUUGUUUCAUCACUUGACUUCCUUUUGUAUGCACACCAGGAUCCAUUGCUGACACUUUUUUUGCUUCACGCUUUUCUUCGAUGUAUUGUCGUAGAGUUAAGAGGAACAUUGAAGUAAAUAAAGUCUGUAAAAGAAGAAAUGUAUUCAUCUGAGUCAUUUGGAAUGAGCUCUGGUAUUGACUUCCCUCUUAAUAUGGAGGGAAUUCUGGAGGGAAAUAGAAUAAUCCAUCCUCUGCUUUUGAACAUCAAAAUGACGAUAUAAAGCUCCUAUUUCAACUUUCACCCCUAUCAGGCACAAAAGACUUGAAAAAUUGACAAACUCUCUUAGACUAUCGAUAAUAAUUAAGAUUUGAAAACCAUGAGGGUAGAUUAUUUUUAAAGGGAAUUAUUAACAUUCUCAGAUCUAUUAACUUCACAACGAUUAUAAAUUUGAAGCAAUGCCUGCUAAAAGGCUAAACCCAGAAACUCAUGAGCCAUGGUUUUUGUUGAUUACGCAGGAUGCUAGGGCUCAUGCAUUUUUAGACUUAUGCUCUUUUAUGGCAACAUAGUGUGUGAUGACAGCUUCUUUGAUGGUUACAAAAAUGAGUUCAAACACAUACAUACAAAAAACACUGUUUAAAAUUGAACGAGUUUAGGGUCGAAUGGGUUACAUACUUUGAUUAGAAUAUUUUUCACAGGGACCGGAGAGUUUUUAUCUGCGUUCUUGAUAUUGUCGUGUCCAAGAUGCUCCAAAUCUAGAAAACCUAAUUCGUACAGGUAUUGAGACAGAAGAAGAAGUUCAGCAUACAGAACGAGGAAUGGCGAGGAACGUAACAUAAUUUUGCGUUGGUUUGGAAGCAUCCACAAAAUGAUUGCCCAUAUUAAAAGAACGAACGUGAGCCAGCUGUGAAACAUGAUGCUCCAAGACUGAAAAUAAAAGCAAUCACAACAUUCAUUUUUUUAUUUCAAAUUGAAAUUUUGAAUUAUUUAAACUAAAUUUCACUGAGAAAUAAUUU